RNAcentral lists this ribosomal RNA (1352 nucleotides) under uncultured bacterium. Its description in RNAcentral is "bacterial SSU rRNA". It matches the Rfam family "Bacterial small subunit ribosomal RNA", at positions 28 to 1381 of the family's 1533-position model. The record is from RNAcentral.
AUUGAACUCUGGCGGCAUGCCUUACACAUGCAAGUCGAACGGCAGCACGGAGCUUGCUCUGGUGGCGAGUGGCGAACGGGUGAGUAAUAUAUCGGAACGUACCCUGGAGUGGGGGAUAACGUAGCGAAAGUUACGCUAAUACCGCAUACGAUCUAAGGAUGAAAGUGGGGGAUCGCAAGACCUCAUGCUCGUGGAGCGGCCGAUAUCUGAUUAGCUAGUUGGUAGGGUAAAAGCCUACCAAGGCAUCGAUCAGUAGCUGGUCUGAGAGGACGACCAGCCACACUGGAACUGAGACACGGUCCAGACUCCUACGGGAGGCAGCAGUGGGGAAUUUUGGACAAUGGGCGAAAGCCUGAUCCAGCAAUGCCGCGUGAGUGAAGAAGGCCUUCGGGUUGUAAAGCUCUUUUGUCAGGGAAGAAACGGUGAGAGCUAAUAUCUUUUGCUAAUGACGGUACCUGAAGAAUAAGCACCGGCUAACUACGUGCCAGCAGCCGCGGUAAUACGUAGGGUGCAAGCGUUAAUCGGAAUUACUGGGCGUAAAGCGUGCGCAGGCGGUUUUGUAAGUCUGAUGUGAAAUCCCCGGGCUCAACCUGGGAAUUGCAUUGGAGACUGCAAGGCUAGAAUCUGGCAGAGGGGGGUAGAAUUCCACGUGUAGCAGUGAAAUGCGUAGAUAUGUGGAGGAACACCGAUGGCGAAGGCAGCCCCCUGGGUCAAGAUUGACGCUCAUGCACGAAAGCGUGGGGAGCAAACAGGAUUAGAUACCCUGGUAGUCCACGCCCUAAACGAUGUCUACUAGUUGUCGGGUCUUAAUUGACUUGGUAACGCAGCUAACGCGUGAAGUAGACCGCCUGGGGAGUACGGUCGCAAGAUUAAAACUCAAAGGAAUUGGCGGGGACCCGCACAAGCGGUGGAUGAUGUGGAUUAAUUCGAUGCAACGCGAAAAACCUUACCUACCCUUGACAUGGCUGGAAUCCCCGAGAGAUUGGGGAGUGCUCGAAGGAGAACCAGUACACAGGUGCUGCAUGGCUGUCGUCAGCUCGUGUCGUGAGAUGUUGGGUUAAGUCCCGCAACGAGCGCAACCCUUGUCAUUAGUUGCUACGAAAGGGCACUCUAAUGAGACUGCCGGUGACAAACCGGAGGAAGGUGGGGAUGACGUCAAGUCCUCAUGGCCCUUAUGGGUAGGGCUUCACACGUCAUACAAUGGUACAUACAGAGCGCCGCCAACCCGCGAGGGGGAGCUAAUCGCAGAAAGUGUAUCGUAGUCCGGAUUGUAGUCUGCAACUCGACUGCAUGAAGUUGGAAUCGCUAGUAAUCGCGGAUCAGCAUGUCGCGGUGAAUACGUUCCCGGGUCU